UACGAAGGGGGCUAGCGUUGCUCGGAAUCACUGGGCGUAAAGGGUGCGUAGGCGGGUUUUUAAGUCAGGGGUGAAAUCCUGGAGCUCAACUCCAGAACUGCCUUUGAUACUGAAGAUCUUGAGUCCGGGAGAGGUGAGUGGAAUUCCCGGUGUAGCGGUGAAAUGCGCAGAUAUCGGGAAGAACACCCGUGGCGAAGGCGGCUCUCUAGUACGGUACUGACGCUGAGACGCGAAAGCGUGGGGAGCGAACAGG
Molecule: ribosomal RNA, 253 nt
Filed under: uncultured bacterium
Lineage: Bacteria
Description: partial 16S ribosomal RNA
Rfam family: Bacterial small subunit ribosomal RNA
Source: RNAcentral